UCAUUGAACGUCACAGAGUCAUGACAUAAUUAUAUAUUCUGAGUUUAGCUUUCAUAAUCUGAAAUUAACAAUUUUUAAGCAAAAUACAUGCAGUUGUCUGAUGCGCCUGUCUAGUCCUAGGUACAUUUGAACAUACAUAAAAAGAAUCUGCCGUUCUUGGUGUUGCAAUAUUGGCUUCAGUAAGACAACAUGUCUAUCCCCUAUCACGCAAUAUAUCACCCAGAGUUUUAUAACAAGUCAUUUCAAUGUGCAAUCCACCAAACAUGACGAUACACUUAUAUUUUCCUUACAAAUCAGGCC
This 300-nucleotide long non-coding RNA is filed under the name Mytilus galloprovincialis (Mediterranean mussel). The record is from RNAcentral. Lineage: Eukaryota; Metazoa; Mollusca; Bivalvia; Mytilida; Mytilidae.